This 922-nucleotide long non-coding RNA is filed under the name Coffea arabica (coffee). RNAcentral's name for it is "long non-coding RNA (CARA_LNC004415)". The record is from RNAcentral. Lineage: Eukaryota; Viridiplantae; Streptophyta; Magnoliopsida; Gentianales; Rubiaceae.
AUCUGAUCGUUGUGUUGUUGGAGGUGUUCAAAACUCUCUACAGUCUGUGUUGGACUUGACCACUUAUGUCAUGGGCAUAAUAAUAUCUAAUCCCGGUAAUCUCUCACUUUGUUUUUUCGGUGAACCUUUGCAUGGAAUGUGAAUCUAUUUGCCAGCUCUAUUGAGUUGUCAUUAUACUUGGUCCUUCUUGCAAAUUAUCCACCUCAUAAUUGCCUAGACUUUGACGUGUGGAAAUUGAUCUUCCAUUUAGAGAAAGGAUGGGAAACAUAACGGAAGAUGUCCUCAUCCAGCAACACAAACGCUUGAAAAUAUUCACCUUUAUUUGUGAUCUUGUAUGAGCCUCCGCAUGUUUGUCUCUAUGGGCUUAAUUUUAGCACACGCUCACACAACUGGCAUAAACACUAAUCAGAGAGGAAGGGACAGGAAAAACAAAUAUUUCAUGCUAAACAUUUUUUUGGGUCCUCCCGAAAUCUCAAUCUCAAGGUAUUUGUUAGUUCUGUUGAUUUGGGAAAAUUGAAAAGUUCUGCUCUGGUUAAUUUUCCUCUCUUGCCCUCUUUGGCCGAUGAUAAAAUCACCAAGUUAUACGAAAAUUAACGAACUUUGAAGAUCAACAGCUGAGGAACAUCUUUCGUGUUCUUUUCACCACAGUAGUCUUGAGGAUUUACAUUGUCCAACUCUUUAAUACGAUCUGCUGCCUUGUUGAUUAGGACUUCUGGAAGUUGAUAAUCUUAUCUUUGCUCGUGGUGACACUGGCUGCAGUACUGUACAGUAUACACAUUUAUCGCGUAAGAAAGCAUCUCUUUCAUUUGGAGAAGCUGUAUCCACUUGUCAGAAUUGUUUUCAGGUCGACUUAGUUUUUGCUUUACUUCGGAACUUGAUACGUAGAUUUGUUUAUUAUGGCACUGCUUUCUGCUGUCAAUUU